This 199-nucleotide ribosomal RNA is filed under the name uncultured bacterium. Its description in RNAcentral is "partial 16S ribosomal RNA". It matches the Rfam family "Bacterial small subunit ribosomal RNA", at positions 328 to 539 of the family's 1533-position model. The record is from RNAcentral.
ACGCUCGACACCUACGGGAGGCAGCAGUUGGGAAUAUUGGACAAUGGAGGAAACUCUGAUCCAGUGACGCCGCGUGAAGGAAGAAGGUCUUCGGAUUGUAAACUUAUUUUGUCAGGGAAGAAAAAUGACUGUACCUGAAGAAAAAGCACCGGCUAACUACGCGCCAGCAGCCGCGGUAAUCUGAGCGGGCUGGCAAGGC